Molecule: ribosomal RNA, 253 nt
Filed under: uncultured prokaryote
Description: partial 16S ribosomal RNA
Rfam family: Bacterial small subunit ribosomal RNA
Source: RNAcentral
UACAGAGGGUGCAAGCGUUGUUCGGCCUUCUUGUUCUUCCCUUUCUCUUAGGCGGUGCGGUAAGUGUGUUGUGAAAUCUUCGGGCUCAACUCGAAGCCUGCAACGCAGACUGCCGUGCUUGAGUCCGGGAGAGGUGAGUGGAACUGCGAGUGUAGAGGUGAAAUUCGUAGAUAUUCGCAAGAACACCAGUGGCGAAGGCGGCUCACUGGCCCGGUACUGACGCUGAGGCACGAAAGCGUGGGGAGCAAACAGG